GUCCAAAAUACAAUGAUGUCUUUUCCAAGCACACAUCUGAUUUGUUCUGUGUGGAAAAUGAUUGCUGAGUGAUUUUGGAU
This is a non-coding RNA of Anas platyrhynchos (mallard), 80 nucleotides long. Lineage: Eukaryota; Metazoa; Chordata; Aves; Anseriformes; Anatidae. The record is from Rfam.